GCGAAACCUUUACACUGCACGCCAGUGCGAUAAGGGGAUCCCAAGUGCGCAGGCAUAGAGCCUGCGCUUUUGUACACCGUAGGGAGGUGUACGAAUAAGGGCUGGGCAAGACCGGUGCCAGCCGCCGCGGUAAUACCGGCAGCCCGAGUGAUGGCCGAUCUUAUUGGGCCUAAAGCGUCCGUAGCUGGCCGCGCAAGUCCAUCGGAAAAUCCACCCGCUCAACGGGUGGGCGUCCGGUGGAAACUGCGUGGCUUGGGACCGGAAGGCGCGACGGGUACGUCCGGGGUAGGAGUGAAAUCCCGUAAUCCUGGACGGACCGCCGAUGGCGAAAGCACGUCGCGAGGACGGAUCCGACAGUGAGGGACGAAAGCCAGGGUCUCGAACCGGAUUAGAUACCCGGGUAGUCCUGGCCGUAAACAAUGUCUGUUAGGUGUGGCUCCCACUACGAGUGGGUGCUGUGCCGUAGGGAAGCCGCUAAACAGACCGCCUGGGAAGUACGUCCGCAAGGAUGAAACUUAAAGGAAUUGGCGGGGG
RNAcentral lists this ribosomal RNA (534 nucleotides) under uncultured haloarchaeon. RNAcentral describes it as "bacterial SSU rRNA". It matches the Rfam family "Archaeal small subunit ribosomal RNA", at positions 341 to 874 of the family's 1478-position model. Lineage: Archaea; Methanobacteriati; Methanobacteriota; Halobacteria; Halobacteriales; Halobacteriaceae. The record is from RNAcentral.